AAGCGGUUUAUCAAGUCAGAUGUGAAAUCCCCGGGCUUAACCUGGGAACUGCAUUUGAAACUGGUCAACUAGAGUAUGGUAGAGGAAAGUGGAAUUUCUGGUGUAGCGGUGAAAUGCGUAGAUAUCAGAAGGAACAUCAAUGGCGAAGGCAGCUUUCUGGCCCAAUACUGACGCUGAGGUACGAAAGCGUGGGUAGCAAACAGGAUUAGAUACCCUGGUAGUCCACGCCGUAAACGAUGAUAACUAGCCGUUGGGGGGAUUUACCCUUUAGUGGCGAAGCUAACGCGUUAAGUUAUCCGCCUGGGGAGUACGGCCGCAAGGCUAAAACUCAAAGGAAUUGACGGGGACCCGCACAAGCGGUGGAGCAUGUGGUUUAAUUCGAUGCAACGCGAAGAACCUUACCUGGUCUUGACAUCCUGCGAACUUUCUAGAAAUAGAUUGGUGCCUUAGGGAACGCAGUGACAGGUGCUGCAUGGCUGUCGUCAGCUCGUGUCGUGAGAUGUUGGGUUAAGUCCCGUAACGAGCGCAACCCUUAUCCUUAUUUGCCAGCACAUAAUGGUGGGAACUAUAAGGAGACUGCCGGUGAUAAACCGGAGGAAGGCGGGGAUGACGUCAAGUCAUCAUGGCCCUUACGACCAGGGCUACACACGUGCUACAAUGGGAAAGGACAAAGAGCCGCGAAGCCGCGAGGUGUAGCUAAUCUCACAAAUCUUUUCGUAGUCCGGAUUGGAGUCUGCAACUCGACUCCAUGAAGUCGGAAUCGCUAGUAAUCGUAGAUCAGAACGCUACGGUGAAUACGUUCCCGGGUCUUGUACACACCGCCCGUCAUACCAUGGGAGUGGGUUGCACCAGAAGUGGCUAGUCUAACUUAGUGAGGACGGUCACCACGGUGUGAUUCAUGACUGGGGUAAAGUCGUAACAAGGUA
Molecule: ribosomal RNA, 926 nt
Filed under: uncultured marine bacterium
Lineage: Bacteria
Description: bacterial SSU rRNA
Rfam family: Bacterial small subunit ribosomal RNA
Source: RNAcentral